UUGGAUUUUCCGCUUUCUAUCUUCUCUUUUUUUUUUUUUCUGUAUUCUCUUCCUUUCUUUCUUUUCCUCUAUGGCUUUUCUUCUCAGUUCUGAAUUGAUUUCCUUUCUUUUUUCAUUUAUUUUGGCGCAUUUUUCUUGGCUUCCUUCGGUCUUUGAUCUGUGCAGCUCCUAUUUCCUUUCUUUUGAUCCAUUUUUCUUGGUUUUCUUUGGUGUUUGAUCGAUGCAAGUACUAUUCUUUUUGGUUUCUUUGAACCCUAAUUGUAAAUGUGGUAGAAUUUACCGUUCUUGGUGAGAAAUAAGUUGAUUGUUCAAUUUUUUUUCAUAAAGAUCAGAUAUGAGGUACGCGAAGCCUCUAGAGGGGUUCCAUUUUGCACAGCUUCGCUGGGUUCCAAGAGUUUUUUUAUUUCCUUUUUCUUCAGCUUGGGGAGGGGAGAGAGACUUGUUUAGUUGUAAGCAUAAAGCAGCUGCUUAGAAUUUCAUUUGGGCAUCCUAUUAAACAAUUUAGAUAAAGUCUUGAGAUUGAAAUGGGAAAAUUAUAGUGGUGCCACGGAGUAGAUUAAUCACCACUGACAAGCUUUUAGGCAAAAUUGAGUAAGCAAAAUGGUCAUUGAUAUUUCGAGAAUCAUGUUGAAAGUAAAGCUCAUGGAAUUAUGACGAUUAAAGAAACAAAACUCCUUUUCGAGCAUGGUGAAUCUGUUGGUCUUAUCCUACCAACAUCUGUCAUUAGGUUGACUAUCCUAUUUCAUUUUUUU
Molecule: long non-coding RNA, 752 nt
Filed under: Theobroma cacao (cacao)
Lineage: Eukaryota; Viridiplantae; Streptophyta; Magnoliopsida; Malvales; Malvaceae
Description: long non-coding RNA (TCAC_LNC005928)
Source: RNAcentral